RNAcentral lists this ribosomal RNA (492 nucleotides) under uncultured bacterium. Its description in RNAcentral is "partial 16S ribosomal RNA". It matches the Rfam family "Bacterial small subunit ribosomal RNA", at positions 28 to 507 of the family's 1533-position model. The record is from RNAcentral.
GAUGAACGCUAGCUACAGGCUUAGCACAUGCAAGUCGAGGGGAAACGACAUCGAAAGCUUGCUUUUGAUGGGCGUCGACCGGCGCACGGGUGAGUAACGCGUAUCCAACCUGCCCAUCACUUGGGAAUAACCUUGCGAAAGUAAGACUAAUACCCAAUGACAUCCCACGAAGACAUCUGAAUGGGAUUAAAGAUUUAUCGGUGAUGGAUGGGGAUGCGUCUGAUUAGCUUGUUGGCGGGGUAACGGCCCACCAAGGCAACGAUCAGUAGGGGUUCUGAGAGGAAGGUCCCCCACAUUGGAACUGAGACACGGUCCAAACUCCUACGGGAGGCAGCAGUGAGGAAUAUUGGUCAAUGGGCGAGAGCCUGAACCAGCCAAGUAGCGUGCAGGAUGACGGCCCUAUGGGUUGUAAACUGCUUUUAUAAGGGAAUAAAGUGGGUCUCGUGAGACUUUUUGCAUGUACCUUAUGAAUAAGGACCGGCUAAUUCCGUG